UGCAAGUCGAGCGGAUGAUGGGAGCUUGCUCCCGGAUUCAGCGGCGGACGGGUGAGUAAUGCCUAGGAAUCUGCCUGGUAGUGGGGGACAACGUUUCGAAAGGAACGCUAAUACCGCAUACGUCCUACGGGAGAAAGCAGGGGACCUUCGGGCCUUGCGCUAUCAGAUGAGCCUAGGUCGGAUUAGCUAGUUGGUGGGGUAAAGGCCUACCAAGGCGACGAUCCGUAACUGGUCUGAGAGGAUGAUCAGUCACACUGGAACUGAGACACGGUCCAGACUCCUACGGGAGGCAGCAGUGGGGAAUAUUGGACAAUGGGCGAAAGCCUGAUCCAGCCAUGCCGCGUGUGUGAAGAAGGUCUUCGGAUUGUAAAGCACUUUAAGUUGGGAGGAAGGGCAGUAAGUUAAUACCUUGCUGUUUUGACGUUACCAACAGAAUAAGCACCGGCUAACUUCGUGCCAGCAGCCGCGGUAAUACGAAGGGUGCAAGCGUUAAUCGGAAUUACUGGGCGUAAAGCGCGCGUAGGUGGUUUGGUAAGAUGGAUGUGAAAUCCCCGGGCUCAACCUGGGAACUGCAUCCAUAACUGCCUGACUAGAGUACGGUAGAGGGUGGUGGAAUUUCCUGUGUAGCGGUGAAAUGCGUAGAUAUAGGAAGGAACACCAGUGGCGAAGGCGACCACCUGGACUGAUACUGACACUGAGGUGCGAAAGCGUGGGGAGCAAAC
This 722-nucleotide ribosomal RNA is filed under the name Pseudomonas sp. AR55. Its description in RNAcentral is "bacterial SSU rRNA". It matches the Rfam family "Bacterial small subunit ribosomal RNA", at positions 56 to 773 of the family's 1533-position model. The record is from RNAcentral. Lineage: Bacteria; Pseudomonadati; Pseudomonadota; Gammaproteobacteria; Pseudomonadales; Pseudomonadaceae.